GAUGGGAUUUUUCUCAUCUACUGCUCCAGUUCACAUAGUUCGAGGUACUGGCUUUGAGGAGAUCUGGUUUUCUGGAAAAAAAAAAAAAAGGAGAAGGAACUCGGUGAAUAUUGCCCUGGGUCCUGGUAAUUCCACCUACUGAAGACAGCUGCCCCUUCUGCUCAUAUUUCCUGAGUCAACAUGGCCACUCUUAACUUUAAAGAGACUUUAGACAUUCUUUGUUACAAUGAACCUAGAAGAAAGAAGAGAAAUAAUAACUGCCAUGGAAGGAUGCUCCUCCUGCCAAUUGGCACUUAUCAAUGACAUCGAGGGAGAGGGACAGAGUGCCUAGGUAUGAGCCUUCAUCAAGUGGUAUGAAGGCCCUACCCCAACAGAAAGUGCUCAUGUGAAGAAAUGAUGCUUUGGACAAGACUUUCCUCCAAGUUGGUCCUAUCCAGGGGUUGGCAAAUAGGGUCCCUGGACAUCAUCCUUGUUGCGUACUCUUAUGAAUAAAGUUCUAUAGGACAC
Molecule: long non-coding RNA, 507 nt
Filed under: Mus pahari (shrew mouse)
Lineage: Eukaryota; Metazoa; Chordata; Mammalia; Rodentia; Muridae
Description: lncRNA (MGP_PahariEiJ_G0005911.1)
Source: RNAcentral